CAGGGAGCCUGAAGAUACGAGGAGCACAGAAUUUGGAAUGAGCAGAGUGACAGGAGAAGAUAUUGGGAAGCGAGCCUGAGACCAUGUCUGACAACCAAGAUGUUAGCAAUCCUUAGAAAGAAUUGGUGGUUAAAAUAGAAGCUACCACUGCAUAAUGUGUUUCCUCAACCUUGAUCCACUCCAGGAUGUACUGGUUUCUACCAGUGUUAAUUUUCCAUUCUGCCUUCACAGUCACCCUCCAGAGAAGUGUGAACCCCCCCAUACACACACACUUUAAGAAAAAUGUCACGACACCACUUCCAGGCCUAUGACUUUUCAAAAGGAAUUCAAGCCAAUAUGAGUCAACUUCAUCUUCUUGAUCGACCAGACUCUAUCUUCAAAACUAGAUGAGUGUUCUAUGAUUUCUCUCCUGGUAGUUAACAAAUCUCUUUUAAAAUACUAUACAUGUUUAGUAUUAAAGCUCAUGGAUCAAACUCAA
This is a non-coding RNA of Odocoileus virginianus texanus, 478 nucleotides long. NCBI's taxonomy places the organism in Eukaryota, Metazoa, Chordata, Mammalia, Artiodactyla, Cervidae. The record is from RefSeq and is a predicted model, not a curated record.